Non-coding RNA from Physcomitrium patens, 781 nucleotides. The record is from RefSeq and is a predicted model, not a curated record. Lineage: Eukaryota; Viridiplantae; Streptophyta; Bryopsida; Funariales; Funariaceae.
AUCCCCAGUGGGGCUGCUGCCUGGGGCACUCCCAACAUCUCCAGGGCUCUGGAAUUGUUGCAGCAGCAGGAAGGUGCCCCAGAGAACAGACUGACAGGAUCAGCCAGGGUCCUUUCCCAAGCAUGUGCAUCUCUGGAAUUGCAGCAUGUGUGGGCAACAUGUGCUCUCUCUUCCACUGGAUGUUAAGUUCUAGUCUCCCUCACCCCAGCCAGCUUCUGUCAUCACUACAGUGAUUCUGAGAAAGAUGGUGGUACAAGACACCACUUGCUUACAAAUCCACACCAAGUGAGGUGGGAUACAGAUGUUUUCUUCAGACAGCUACAAGGGGUUGAUCAUGGGGAGUCACCAAACAAUGCGGGUUCAAAGUACCAGCAGAUGGUGUAUGCUGGGUUAAAAGUUUUGGAAUUAAGCAGGAGAUGAAGCAAACAACUUCAAAGUUGGUGUUUACAGAAUAAUCCCAACAAAGGUUUACUGCUAUGAUCAUUAGUUGGAAGUUGCAAGAUGAUAAGUGGGAUACAUUACUUUGUUAUCUAUUUUUGUGGAUGAAAACUUGGUUUUGAGAAACUAUAUUUGAUAAGUUUGCAUAGAAAUAAUCAAAAAGGUUUGCUGGAGGAACAAAUUUCGAAAUACUCUCCACCCCCCUCCCUUAUUUUAGAAUGUAGUGCAAUUCAUACUCAAGGAAUGUUGUGUCCUGCAAAGUUAAUCAUAGUCAAAUAAUAGUCUUGUCAAAGUUUCAUGUAAGAAAGGAUGAAGUUAAAAAAAGGAGCUGAUUAUUUUUAUA